This is a long non-coding RNA of Vicia villosa (hairy vetch), 3192 nucleotides long. RefSeq lists it as uncharacterized. The transcript has 3 exons. The record is from RefSeq and is a predicted model, not a curated record. NCBI's taxonomy places the organism in Eukaryota, Viridiplantae, Streptophyta, Magnoliopsida, Fabales, Fabaceae.
CCACUUAGACCCCUAUUCUUGUUAUAUGGUGAUGUCACGGUACAUUCUUUUAUAAUUUUUUUUAUUUAAUGUUAAAUUGUAUAUAUUUUUAUUUUUUGAAAGUAUAUGAAAGUGAUACUUAAAAAUGUUAAAUAACAUAUAAAUCUAAAAAAGUUAGAAAAAUAGUGAAACCCUAUGGAGCAUUCUCAUGCCACUCUCGCCUCUUCACUAUCGACCGUCGCCGUCCACCGUUCUCACCGCCGUCCACCGUUCUCCCCGCCGUCCACCGUUCUCGUCACGGUUUGAAUUCUCAUUUCGUUCAACUUUCUCAUCACAGUUCUACGAUUUCACAUCUUCAUUUUCAGUGAAAACUUGCUCGCAGGAACCCUAAUCUAUUAUGUCGAAUCGCAGGUAGGAGAUUUGAAUUAGGUCAGUUGAAAUCGUGUUGACAUUGUAAUUGUUGUUCAAAAACUAGUUUUUAUGCUUCCUUUAGAUAUAAUUUAGAGUAGAUUCGGUUCAUGAACUUGUUACAGAGGAAUAACUGAGCAUGGAAAAGUAACCUUGCUAUCAUAUGUUAUUGAUUUGGUUCAUGAACUGAGCUUAUGAAAGAUUUAUAUUUAUUUAGUAUAAGUUUUUUUCUUUGUCAUGGACAGGUUUUAUUUCUAGAACUGAGGAAGAUUGAAAAACUUGAAGAAGAAAAUAUGCUUCAACGAAUGUUUGCCGGUGGUGCCAAAUGUCAAUUAAUGCCUUUUUGUAAACUUGAAUUACAUGCUAAUAUCGAAUUUUCCGACUAGACCUAAGGGUUUGAUUACUCUUGGUUUUUAAUAGUUACUAAUUUAUUGGUGCUGCUGGUUUAUAUAUGUAAAUUGCUAUUGUUUCUUGCAGAGUUUUGAGGCUUUGAAUCAGCGAGCAGUGGCUGUAGUUGUCGAUCCAAUUCAAAGUGUUAAAGGAAAAGUGGUGAUUUAUGCUUUUCGAUUGAUCAAUCCACAGACAAUGAUGCUCGGGCAAGAACCAAGGCAGACAACUUCCAAUCUGGGGCAUCUGAAUAAACCAUCUAUUCAGGUUUUCACCGAAACCGUUUUUCAUUUAUGUUGACAUGUCAUGGACAAAGUUCGAUCCUGCCGGUCUUGAUCUUCUUUCGGUACACAUAACUGUUUUUGAAUAGGUGCCUAAAUUACUUAACUCUUUUAUUCAUCUACUGAAAGUUUAUUUAUUAUGCCUGCUGUUGUGUUGGACAGAGAAUGCUUUGCCUGUACCCAAAUGGCAGGAUUUCAGCUAAUGAAACUCUUAACCAUCCAUAUCUUCAAUUUUGACCGCCCAAGGGCCUAUUCUCUCUUUCUUUCUUUCUACUUUUAACAGAACAAUCUUAUAGAAUCUUUGUCUUAAACACCUGGUUCUCGUGCCGGUGUUGGACUUACUGGACUCACUGUCGCUGAACACUUCCGUGAUGCUGAAGGACAUGAUGUGCUUCUUUUCAUCAACAACAUUUUCCGCUUUACUCAAGUAUGGACAACUUAUCCUGGGACCAGAAGUUGGAAGAAGCAAAGAAGGACGACAAGAUUUAUUCAAGAUUACAUGUUCUAUGAAAGUGUUUGCCUCCUACUUCGGGCCAAGUGGUUCAAGCCUUUAGCUGUUGAAGAGCGUCCAGUUGUUGAAGAAGAUAUCUAUGAGAUAGAAGACUAUUAUUAUCAGUAUGAAGAAGCUGAUGAUGAUCUAGAUGACAAUGAGGCUUACUAUGGUGCUUCAGCAAAUGUCCGGCUUGGCAACCGUAGAUGGGGAGACAACAGUUUUGUAAGGGUUGGGCGUCAAGAAGCUCGGCCGGUCCAUCAACCAAGCUUCCAGGAUUCAGGAGAGGGGAAGAAAGGUGGAGUUACCGAACAUAAAUGGAGAAACGACGGUGGUCGUUUUCAAUGGUGUGGUGGUCGCGUCGGCUGAGGAGCGCAUUGAUACUUGUUGCAGCGGCGUGAUGCACUUCGGAGGAAAUUUCCAGCAGUUUUCUGGCGGUCGAAAAACGUGAAUCUCCUCUUCCCUUUUGAUGGAAUCUCAACUGUUUCAACAUCAAUAGUUCCUCUGUGAUGGAAAAACGGUUUUUCAAUUUCACUCUCACUGUGUCGUUGUUUCUCUCUACUGCUACCUUAAACUUUGCAUCUCUCAACUAAAGAUGUUGAAAGCAAUGUUAAAGAAUGGCCCAUGGUCAAUCAAUUAAAGACAUGAUAAAAGUGAAGAAAAUUGAGGUAUUACUUGCUCUGAACCAUCCAUGAGUCUUUUGGUAUUCAAAAGGCAGAUCCAUCAUUGAAUCAAAGUUGUAACAGUAAGAUGAGUUUUGCAUGUUAUGGUGGUGGUGGUCUUUAUUGGGGCCAUGGCUUGAUUUAAUAAUUAUAAUUUGUGAUUUUUUUUUGGUGUGGUGAUGGUCUUUAUUAUUUAUGUUGUAUGUUUGUUUGAAUUGUAUAUAUUGAAGAGGACAUUCGAUCGUUUCAUGGAGUUCGUUGUUCACUUUAGUUCAUGCAUGCUUGUUUAGAUUUCGUUUUAAGCUUCGAUUCGCUACAAUUGUUUUUGAGGUAUAAACUCUGCCACUUCAAUCCUUUCUGUUUAGUUUAUUUUUUAUUUAUUUUUUUGCUUUGUUAUUUGCUUUAAGUUCAACGUUGUUCUAGCUUUUAGGGCAUAGGAAUUAUUUUUACUGAAUAAUUUGAUGAAUGAUUGCUUGUUUAGGUUCUAAUUAGUAGCUGAUUAUUGUAAAAUCAAUUUUGAAAAGAGCUUCAAAUGUUUGUACAUUCUAAUUUUGAAUAUAGAAUUUAUUUUUUCAUUCUUUGUGUGUAGCUGAUGAUUGAGGAUUGUAAAAUUCUUGAUCCUUAAGAUUUUGCUAUAACUAGAAAUAGGAAAAUAUUAAUUAUAAUGAUUAGGAAAAUAUUAAUUAUAGUGUAUGGGAUUCAAACUAAGAAGUUUCUGUUUAGAAAUCCGAUAAUUAAUUGAAAGUGUAACUUGAGAAGCUUUGUAUCUUGAUUUUGUAUGAUAAUGUAAUACAUUGCAUAUAAUAGUAGAUAGAUAGUUUUGCUGAUUAAGUUGGAUAUUUAUUGUUAAAUAUUGCUUCAGAUUGUAUUAAUAUUCACGCCAGAAAUCAAUGAUGCAAAGACCCAAGAGCUUGGUUUUAUGAGUCAUUUAUAGUAAUGUUUCAAAAUUUUAAUAAAUUAUUUUUUUUAAUUUGAUAGAAAGUAC